This 775-nucleotide transfer RNA is filed under the name uncultured cyanobacterium. RNAcentral's name for it is "partial 16S-23S ribosomal RNA intergenic spacer". The stretch from base 268 to 340 matches the Rfam family "tRNA". Lineage: Bacteria; Bacillati; Cyanobacteriota. The record is from RNAcentral.
CAGGGAGACAACACAAUGAUUUUGAUGCCUGAGUACUUUUAUUCUUAGGCCGAAAUCCUGUCACCUUAGGUCGAUCGGUACCUCAGCUUUGAAGUCAAGGAUCAGCAGCAAUGUUGAUUGCUUGAUGGAGAUUUUCAGUUCCUAAACUUUGUCUAGGUCACACCCCAAAAGGGAUGAGACUCCUGGGCCAUUAGCUCAGGUGGUUAGAGCGCACCCCUGAUAAGGGUGAGGUCCCUGGUUCAAGUCCAGGAUGGCCCAUUCGGUGUUGGGGGUUUAGCUCAGUUGGUAGAGCGCCUGCUUUGCAAGCAGGAUGUCAGGAGUUCGAGUCUCCUAACCUCCACUGACCGAACUUGAUUCCCAUCUCCAAUUUUUUUGGAGUUGAGCUCGAUUGGAGUGUGAUUUAGAUGUGUCCGCUGGAUGACUCCAGCUUCCUGUCAUUCCAAGUUUUAGGUUAAAGCCUUGAAUUUGGUUGAUAAGAUGCUGGGCUCGGAUCAAAUGAUCAAGUAAUUGAUGAUUUGAUUUGAAGUUCUAGCAGAACCUUGACAACUGCAUAGGUGAGUCUGGAAAAAACAAAGCAUCUUACAGAUGCAUUGUUUUGAAUCUGAUCUUCUGAAAGGGAGAUUAGAUCUAGAACAAUGAAAAUUCUUUUGAGCAAGAGCCGAGACUCUUGAACGUUCUUUGAUUGGUGUCGAGCCAAUCAGAGUUUGAUCUUGUUUUUAGCAAUAAAAACUUGAGAAUCUGCUUUCAACGGCGGUAAGCGUUUAAGAGGUUAAUU